NUAUAUGAAUAUGAACUAUAGUGAAAAUAUCUUGCACAUUUUGGGACUCAAAUAAUUGUUUUCACUCUAACAAAUGAUGAAUUUAUAUAUAUACAUUGUUUCUCUUCUUUGAAUGACUCAAUUGCCACAACAAAUAUAAUAAAGAGUGCACAAUGAAAGAACUUGGAGUUAAAAGACUUGGUUUCCAUAUUUGAUAAACUAGGAG
RNAcentral lists this long non-coding RNA (205 nucleotides) under Lathyrus oleraceus (garden pea). RNAcentral's name for it is "Pisum sativum (pea) long non-coding RNA (PSAT_LNC040969)". Lineage: Eukaryota; Viridiplantae; Streptophyta; Magnoliopsida; Fabales; Fabaceae. The record is from RNAcentral.